AGAGUUUGAUCAUGGCUCAGGACGAACGCUGGCGGCGUGCUUAACACAUGCAAGUCGAACGAGGCACUUGUGCCUAGUGGCGAACGGGUGAGUAACACGUGAGCAACCUGCCCCUGGCUCUGGGAUAGCCUCCGGAAACGGGGAUUAAUACCGGACAUGACCUGCUGCGGCAUCGCGGCGGGUGGAAAGUUUUUCGGCCGGGGAGGGGCUCGCGGCCUAUCAGCUUGUUGGGGGGGUAACGGCCCACCAAGGCGACGACGGGUAGCCGGCCUGAGAGGGCGACCGGCCACACUGGGACUGAGACACGGCCCAGACUCCUGCGGGAGGCAGCAGUGGGGAAUAUUGCACAAUGGGGGAAACCCUGAUGCAGCGACGCCGCGUGCGGGAUGAAGGCCUUCGGGUUGUAAACCGCUUUCACCACAGACGAAGCGCAAGUGACGGUAUGUGGGGAAGAAGCGCCGGCUAACUACGUGCCAGCAGCCGCGGUAAUACGUAGGGCGCGAGCGUUGUCCGGAAUUAUUGGGCGUAAAGAGCUCGUAGGCGGCCUGUUGCGUCUGCUGUGAAAUCCCGGGGCUUAACCCCGGGCGUGCAGUGGAUACGGGCAGGCUGGAGGCAGGCAGGGGAGAACGGAAUUCCCGGUGUAGCGGUGAAAUGCGCAGAUAUCGGGAGGAACACCGGUGGCGAAGGCGGUUCUCUGGGCCUGUUCUGACGCUGAGGAGCGAAAGCGUGGGGAGCGAACAGGAUUAGAUACCCCCGUAGUCC
This 762-nucleotide ribosomal RNA is filed under the name uncultured bacterium. RNAcentral describes it as "bacterial SSU rRNA". It matches the Rfam family "Bacterial small subunit ribosomal RNA", at positions 8 to 796 of the family's 1533-position model. The record is from RNAcentral.